CUAACACAUGCAAGUCGAGCGGUAGAGAGGAGCUUGCUCCUCUUGAGAGCGGCGGACGGGUGAGUAAUGCCUAGGAAUCUGCCUGGUAGUGGGGGAUAACGUUCGGAAACGGACGCUAAUACCGCAUACGUCCUACGGGAGAAAGCAGGGGACCUUCGGGCCUUGCGCUAUCAGAUGAGCCUAGGUCGGAUUAGCUAGUUGGUGAGGUAAUGGCUCACCAAGGCGACGAUCCGUAACUGGUCUGAGAGGAUGAUCAGUCACACUGGAACUGAGACACGGUCCAGACUCCUACGGGAGGCAGCAGUGGGGAAUAUUGGACAAUGGGCGAAAGCCUGAUCCAGCCAUGCCGCGUGUGUGAAGAAGGUCUUCGGAUUGUAAAGCACUUUAAGUUGGGAGGAAGGGCAGUAAAUUAAUACUUUGCUGUUUUGACGUUACCGACAGAAUAAGCACCG
This 452-nucleotide ribosomal RNA is filed under the name gamma proteobacterium BAL122. RNAcentral's name for it is "bacterial SSU rRNA". It matches the Rfam family "Bacterial small subunit ribosomal RNA", at positions 48 to 495 of the family's 1533-position model. Lineage: Bacteria; Pseudomonadati; Pseudomonadota; Gammaproteobacteria. The record is from RNAcentral.